GCGGUACUCUACCAGAUCUCCUUAAUGGUGCCUCUACUGGCUCCAAAUUUGAUUCUCCAAUCAAAUUCAAUUAUGUGUGUGUCGGUCUUUUUACCUCUUGAACUUCAUCCAAUUUAAUUUUACAGGCUUUAGCUCUUUCUCUAAGGAACUUUUUUUUCAAAAAGACUGCCCUGCUGCUGAUAAACAUCUUUUACUUUGCAGUAAGGUAGAAGUAGUACCUAUUGGAUUU
RNAcentral lists this long non-coding RNA (229 nucleotides) under Elaeis guineensis (African oil palm). Its description in RNAcentral is "long non-coding RNA (EGUI_LNC069633)". The record is from RNAcentral. Lineage: Eukaryota; Viridiplantae; Streptophyta; Magnoliopsida; Arecales; Arecaceae.